GACGAACGCUGGCGGCGUGCCUCAAACAUGCAAGUCGAGCGAAGGGAAUCCAAACCGCAAGGGGAGGAUGAACUUAGCGGCGAACGGGUGAGUAACACGUGGGCAACCUGCCCAGAAGACUGGGAUAACGACUCGAAAGGGUCGCUAAUACCGGAUAAUGUCGGUACUUCGCAUGAAGGGCCGAAGAAAGGGGAAACCCGCUUUUGGAUGGGCUCGCGUCCCAUCAGCUAGUUGGUAGGGUAACGGCCUACCAAGGCGACGACGGGUAGCCGGUCUGAGAGGAUGAACGGCCACACUGGGACUGAGAUACGGCCCAGACUCCUGCGGGAGGCAGCAGUUGGGAAUAUUGGGCAAUGGGCGAAAGCCUGACCCAGCGACGCCGCGUGAGGGAAGAAGGCCUUCGGGUCGUAAACCUCUGUCAUUGGGACGAAGAAAGUGACGGUACCCGAACGGAGGAAGCCCCUGCUAACUACGUG
Molecule: ribosomal RNA, 476 nt
Filed under: uncultured bacterium
Lineage: Bacteria
Description: bacterial SSU rRNA
Rfam family: Bacterial small subunit ribosomal RNA
Source: RNAcentral